RNAcentral lists this ribosomal RNA (1000 nucleotides) under uncultured bacterium. Its description in RNAcentral is "bacterial SSU rRNA". It matches the Rfam family "Bacterial small subunit ribosomal RNA", at positions 356 to 1376 of the family's 1533-position model. The record is from RNAcentral.
GAGGGAUAUUGGGCAAUGGGGGAAACCCUGACCCAGCAACGCCGCGUGAGGGAUGACGGUUUUCGGAUUGUAAACCUCUGUCCUCUGUGAAGAUAGUGACGGUAGCAGAGGAGGAAGCUCCGGCUAACUACGUGCCAGCAGCCGCGGUAAUACGUAGGGAGCAAGCGUUGUCCGGAUUUACUGGGUGUAAAGGGUGCGUAGGCGGAUUGGCAAGUCAGAAGUGAAAUCCAUGGGCUUAACCCAUGAACUGCUUUUGAAACUGUUAGUCUUGAGUGAAGUAGAGGUAGGCGGAAUUCCCGGUGUAGCGGUGAAAUGCGUAGAGAUCGGGAGGAACACCAGUGGCGAAGGCGGCCUACUGGGCUUUAACUGACGCUGAGGCACGAAAGUGUGGGUAGCAAACAGGAUUAGAUACCCUGGUAGUCCACACUGUAAACGAUGAUUACUAGGUGUGGGGGGUCUAACCCCCUCCGUGCCGGAGUUAACACAAUAAGUAAUCCACCUGGGGAGUACGACCGCAAGGUUGAAACUCAAAGGAAUUGACGGGGGCCCGCACAAGCAGUGGAGUAUGUGGUUUAAUUCGACGCAACGCGAAGAACCUUACCAGGUCUUGACAUCCAACUAACGAAGCAGAGAUGCGUUAGGUGCCCUUCGGGGAAAGUUGAGACAGGUGGUGCAUGGUUGUCGUCAGCUCGUGUCGUGAGAUGUUGGGUUAAGUCCCGCAACGAGCGCAACCCUUGUGAUUAGUUGCUACGCAAGAGCACUCUAAUCAGACUGCCGUUGACAAAACGGAGGAAGGUGGGGACGACGUCAAAUCAUCAUGCCCUUUAUGACCUGGGCUACACACGUACUACAAUGGCGUUUAACAAAGAGAAGCAAGACCGCGAGGUGGAGCAAAACUCAAAAACAACGUCUCAGUUCAGAUUGCAGGCUGCAACUCGCCUGCAUGAAGUCGGAAUUGCUAGUAAUCGCGGAUCAGCAUGCCACGGUGAAUACGUUCCCG